UGAGCCAASUUGGGGCAUGCUUAACAUGCAGUCGAACGGUAACAGGUCUUCGGAUGCUGACGAGUGGCGAACGGGUGAGUAAUACAUCGGAACGUGCCUAGUAGUGGGGGAUAACUACUCGAAAGAGUAGCUAAUACCGCAUGAGAUCUACGGAUGAAAGCAGGGGACCUUCGGGCCUUGUGCUACUAGAGCGGCUGAUGGCAGAUUAGGUAGUUGGUGGGGUAAAGGCUUACCAAGCCUGCGAUCUGUAGCUGGUCUGAGAGGACGACCAGCCACACUGGGACUGAGACACGGCCCAGACUCCUACGGGAGGCAGCAGUGGGGAAUUUUGGACAAUGGGCGAAAGCCUGAUCCAGCAAUGCCGCGUGCAGGAUGAAGGCCCUCGGGUUGUAAACUGCUUUUGUACGGAACGAAAAGCCUGGGGCUAAUAUCCCCGGGUCAUGACGGUACCGUAAGAAUAAGCACCGGCUAACUACGUGCCAGCAGCCGCGGUAAUACGUAGGGUGCAAGCGUUAAUCGGAAUUACUGGGCGUAAAGCGUGCGCAGGCGGUUUUGUAAGACAGUGGUGAAAUCCCCGGGCUCAACCUGGGAACUGCCAUUGUGACUGCAAGGCUAGAGUGCGGCAGAGGGGGAUGGAAUUCCGCGUGUAGCAGUGAAAUGCGUAGAUAUGCGGAGGAACACCGAUGGCGAAGGCAAUCCCCUGGGCCUGCACUGACGCUCAUGCACGAAAGCGUGGGGAGCAAACAGGAUUAGAUACCCUGGUAGUCCACGCCCUAAACGAUGUCAACUGGUUGUUGGGUCUUACUGACUCAGUAACGAAGCUAACGCGUGAAGUUGACCGCCUGGGGAGUACGGCCGCAAGGUUGAAACUCAAAGGGAAUUGACGGGGACCCGCACAAGCGGUGGAUGA
Molecule: ribosomal RNA, 910 nt
Filed under: Comamonas sp. MQ2-B
Lineage: Bacteria; Pseudomonadati; Pseudomonadota; Betaproteobacteria; Burkholderiales; Comamonadaceae
Description: bacterial SSU rRNA
Rfam family: Bacterial small subunit ribosomal RNA
Source: RNAcentral